AACGAACGCUGGCGGCAUGCCUAACACAUGCAAGUCGAACGAGACCUUCGGGUCUAGUGGCGCACGGGUUCGUAACGCGUGGGAACCUGCCCUUAGGUUCGGAAUAACUCCCCGAAAGGGGUGCUAAUACCGGAUAAUGUCUUCGGACCAAAGAUUUAUCGCCUUUGGAUGGGCCCGCGUUGGAUUAGCUAGUUGUUAGGGUAAAAGCCUACCAAGGCGACGAUCCAUAGCUGGUCUGAGAGGAUGAUCAGCCACACUGGGACUGAGACACGGCCCAGACUCCUACGGGAGGCAGCAGUGGGGAAUAUUGGACAAUGGGGGAAAGCCUGAUGCAGCAAUGACGCGUGAGUGAUGAAGGCCUUAGGGUUGUAAAGCUCUUUUACCCGGGAUGAUAAUGACAGUACCGGGAGAAUAAGCUCCGGCUAACUCCGUG
This 433-nucleotide ribosomal RNA is filed under the name uncultured bacterium. RNAcentral's name for it is "partial 16S ribosomal RNA". It matches the Rfam family "Bacterial small subunit ribosomal RNA", at positions 29 to 507 of the family's 1533-position model. The record is from RNAcentral.